Cyprinodon tularosa is the source of this 259-nucleotide long non-coding RNA. RefSeq lists it as uncharacterized. The record is from RefSeq and is a predicted model, not a curated record. The transcript is spliced from 3 exons. Lineage: Eukaryota; Metazoa; Chordata; Actinopteri; Cyprinodontiformes; Cyprinodontidae.
GAAUAUGGAAGCAGCGUUCUAACAGUCGGAUCUCAGUGGAACAGAGUCCAUCCACAUGUAUUUGGAGGAGCUGAAGCAGAGGAUGGAGAACACAGACCACCAAGGAGGAGAAACAUGGCUGCCCUGCUCGUCUCUCCAACAUUCUGGAGUCCUGGAAUGAAAAACGUCGACGACCCCGCAGCUAAACCAUCAGUCUGCUCCACCCAGAAAGAAGAUUUCUUCCGUCGUCUCCUCGUUGGACCGGCACCUCUUGGACGUC